CCUACGGGCGGCAGCAGUGAGGAAUAUUGGUCAAUGGACGAGAGUCUGAACCAGCCAAGUAGCGUGAAGGAUGACUGCCCUAUGGGUUGUAAACUUCCUUUAUAUGGGAAUAAAACGUUCCACGUGUGGGAUUUUGUAUGUACCAUAUGAAUAAGGAUCGGCUAACUCCGUGCCAGCAGCCGCGGUAAUACGGAGGAUCCGAGCGUUAUCCGGAUUUAUUGGGUUUAAAGGGAGCGUAGGUGGAUUGUUAAGUCAGUUGUGAAAGUUUGCGGCUCAACCGUAAAAUUGCAGUUGAAACUGGCAGUCUUGAGUACAGUAGAGGUGGGCGGAAUUCGUGGUGUAGCGGUGAAAUGCUUAGAUAUCACGAAGAACUCCGAUUGCGAAGGCAGUUCACUGGACUGCAACUGACACUGAGGCUCGAAAGUGUGGGUAUCAAACAGGAUUAGAUACCCUUGUAGUC
This 460-nucleotide ribosomal RNA is filed under the name uncultured bacterium. RNAcentral's name for it is "partial 16S ribosomal RNA". It matches the Rfam family "Bacterial small subunit ribosomal RNA", at positions 338 to 795 of the family's 1533-position model. The record is from RNAcentral.